UACGGAGGAUGCGAGCGUUAUCCGGAUUUAUUGGGUUUAAAGGGUGCGUAGGCGGGCUUUUAAGUCAGCGGUAAAAAUUCGGGGCUCAACCCCGUCCGGCCGUUGAAACUGGGGGUCUUGAGCGGGCGAGAAGAAGGCGGAAUGCGUGGUGUAGCGGUGAAAUGCAUAGAUAUCACGCAGAACCCCGAUUGCGAAGGCAGCCUUCCGGCGCCCUACUGACGCUGAGGCACGAAAGUGCGGGGAUCGAACAGG
RNAcentral lists this ribosomal RNA (252 nucleotides) under uncultured bacterium. Its description in RNAcentral is "partial 16S ribosomal RNA". It matches the Rfam family "Bacterial small subunit ribosomal RNA", at positions 524 to 776 of the family's 1533-position model. The record is from RNAcentral.